GUCAAGUCAUCAUGGUCCUUACGCCCAGGGCUACACACGUGCUACAAUGGCAUCUACAGAGUGUUGCGAACCGGCGACGGUAAGCCAAUCACAAAAAGGAUGUCUCAGUUCGGAUUGCAGGCUGCAACUCGCCUGCAUGAAGUUGGAAUCGCUAGUAAUCGCGCAUCAGCAAUGGCGCGGUGAAUACGUUCCCGGACCUU
This 200-nucleotide ribosomal RNA is filed under the name uncultured organism. RNAcentral describes it as "partial small subunit ribosomal RNA". It matches the Rfam family "Bacterial small subunit ribosomal RNA", at positions 1184 to 1382 of the family's 1533-position model. The record is from RNAcentral.